This is a long non-coding RNA of Scophthalmus maximus (turbot), 519 nucleotides long. RefSeq lists it as uncharacterized. The record is from RefSeq and is a predicted model, not a curated record. The transcript has 2 exons. Lineage: Eukaryota; Metazoa; Chordata; Actinopteri; Pleuronectiformes; Scophthalmidae.
CGGGCCUGGGCCGUGUGGAGACCCUCCAUGGCGCUGGACAGCCAGAUGAGUCUCUUGAGGCUCUGGAUGUUGCGGCCGCGGUCGUGCAUCAGCUGGUGCUCGCUCACAGCUCGGCGGCUGCGAGGAGACGGAGGAAAGGAUCCGACCACGCGCGCUGUGCACCGGCAGGGUUCUGUACUGUCACUUUCCCCCGACAAAGAGUGAAAAGCUCGAUGGAUCACUCCACCUCUCGUUCUGUUGGCACUGUCCUGCUGCGAGGGCGACGAGCAGCAUGGCGGCGAGCCACCGCACAGACCUGUGGGACAUCGUCUGCAUCGUCUGCAGACAAACAGCGGGAAACCACGACUUGUCAUUUCAAAGGAAAAAGAACGAGGAGCAUUAAUAUAUUACCGUAGUUAGACACAACCAUUUUAGCUUAUGACCCAUUGGAAUUAAGGAAUGUCUAAUUUCUAUAGCUCAGUUUUGGUAAUAGAUAAAUCUACCAGUUGUGAUGAGUUCAACUUCCGACUGGUUUCCUCA